Molecule: small nucleolar RNA, 71 nt
Organism: Pteropus vampyrus (large flying fox)
Lineage: Eukaryota; Metazoa; Chordata; Mammalia; Chiroptera; Pteropodidae
Source: Ensembl
UGGAUCAAUGUAACCACUGAUGUCAUAUGUGUCAUAUAUGAUGAAUACAUGUUGGGAACUCUGACGUCCAA